RNA transcript from Passer montanus (Eurasian tree sparrow), 2106 nucleotides. It is a transcript of the gene named adaptor related protein complex 3 subunit sigma 1, with no coding region annotated. NCBI's taxonomy places the organism in Eukaryota, Metazoa, Chordata, Aves, Passeriformes, Passeridae. The transcript is spliced from 7 exons. The record is from RefSeq and is a predicted model, not a curated record.
CGCGAGCCGUCCCGCCGGUCACGUGGUGCGCGCGCCCCGCUGGCAGCGGCCCGGGAGCGGGAGCGGGAGAGAGGAGCAAGGGAGGGAGCGGGACACAGCGGGACACAGCGCUGCUCGUCCGGCCGCCGCCCCACCAUGAUCAAAGCCAUCCUCAUCUUCAACAACCACGGCAAGCCGCGGCUGUCCAAGUUCUACCAGCGCUACAGUGAAGAUACGCAGCAACAAAUUAUCAGAGAAACUUUCCAUUUAGUAUCAAAACGUGAUGAAAAUGUCUGUAAUUUUCUAGAAGGUGGACUAUUAAUAGGUGGAUCUGAUAACAAACUAAUUUACCGACACUAUGCCACCUUGUAUUUUGUCUUCUGUGUGGAUUCCUCAGAAAGUGAGCUUGGUAUUUUAGACCUCAUACAAAAAUUUGUUUUAACUUUGAAGACCCUAAGCUCAAUCUUACAUUUAACUUCGAGAGAUCUUGACAUAACCUAUGUCUGUAGGAGGUAUCCCUUGGCCAAAGAGAGCUGUGUGUACAGCUCUAAGACUGGAGUCUCUGACAGCACUCACCACAAGCACAUGGUGAUUGGCAUUCAGGAACUUCAGGACUGCAAGUACAAUCAUCAUUUCAUUAUCUGGACUAGCUGGGGACCAGGUAUUUGUGGAAACACUGGACAAAUGUUUUGAAAAUGUCUGUGAGCUGGAUUUAAUCUUUCAUGUAGACAAGGUCCAUAAUAUAUUGGCUGAAAUGGUCAUGGGUGGAAUGGUUUUGGAGACCAAUAUGAAUGAAAUUGUUACUCAGAUUGAUGCUCAAAAUAAACUGGAGAAAUCUGAGGCUGGUUUAGCAGGAGCUCCAGCCCGGGCUGUUUCAGCUGUAAAGAAUAUGAAUCUGCCAGAGAUCCCAAGAAAUAUUAAUAUUGGUGACAUCAGUAUAAAAGUACCAAACCUGCCCACUUUUAAAUAACAUGGCUACUCCAGGUAAUACCAAGGAAGAAAUGUAAUAGAGAUUUACUGCAUAAUUGUUUACUAAAUAAACAUGUCUAACUUUUAUUGUUUGGAUAAAACUCAAGGUCCUGCAUAGACAUAACCUGAAAAAUCAGUGUGUGGAGUUGAAUGUUGCUUUUGUCUUGUUUGUGAAAUUUAAGGAAAGGGGUAGUUCCCAUGUGAUUUCUAAAUUACAUUCCUAUGCCCUUGCAAGGCAUAUCACUGUGUCUCAGCUGCUGCAGUAUUUUGGGGAAAUAUUUAAGAUGUUCUUUACUUUGUAUAACCUAUAAUGCUGAGGUUUUUUGUAUAUUCACCAAAAUCUAUAAUUAGUGCGUUCUUUAACUACUUCUGUUUGUCAUGAUUAUUUAAGACUUAAGUACAAAUGUUGCAUGAAAACAUUUAACUCAUGUUUUGUUAAAUAAAAUCAUAACAAGCUGGACUUCGAAAUACCUGUUUUUUGAAGUCUGCUGUUUGCAAUAAACCACGUUAUUUCCUAUUCAUGGAGCCAAUUGAUUAUGUAUUGACAAAUACUGUUGUAGCAGACAUUGAUGUUGUAGUUUAAUCUCUGAAGGGCUUACACAGGGGUAUUAUGCUGAACAUAUUGGCUCGUUACAUUUCUCACAAAAGCUGUUCAUUAUGCUGAAAGAAAAACUGCCUUUACCGAAGAUCUGAUGAUUUUUGUUUACAUACACAUGUUGAUAUGUACACAAUCUGGUAGACUUUCACUGAUGGUCUGACUUUGUUUUGGGGAAAAAUAGGCAGCCCUGUGAAUGCUCUGUGUUGUGAGAAGCACAGAAUGGGCUGAAGACCUUAUAUUUGGGCAGCUCAAACCUGUACAUGAGAGUCUAUCAAAUAAUGUGGUAAAGAAAGGCACUCUGGAAAGACAAUUGGGGAUACUUUAAUAGGGCCUCUGUGCCUGGUGACAUUUGUGAUUCUCUGCUUUGAGAGAGACACAUAGUAUUGUGAAGAUCUCAGAGAUCUAUCACCUCUGCGUAAGUUGCUCAGCUCUUAAACUCUUCUGUGAUUUAAAAAACAUAAAAGGGGGAUAGUGAUUGUUUUUUAUAAUCAUGCUCUUAAGCUCUGUGUGUUGUACAAGUCUGUUUUAAUGAAUAAUAAAAAUAUCAUUGGGAUAUUUAA